GCUUGAAAGAAAGCAAAGAAAAUGGAAAUACGGUAGCAUGAAGGAAGGAAAGAGUGAAGAUAAUGAAGCACUGAAAUCUCGCACUAGAAAUCCCCUUAAAAAGGAGUUGCUCCGGUCCUCAUCAGCUACCAGGACGUGUCAAGCCAUAGAAAGUGAAGUUUCACAAACCAUCCUUCCCCACAGACAAGUAUGUAAAUCAUAACUGAUUAAACAGAAUUAUGUCUUGGUAAUUUGGAACUGGACACAGAUAAUUCUAACUACUCUUUAAAAAUUUUUUUUAAUUAUUGUGAGAGAGAGAGUGCAAGUCGGGUAGGGAGAGAGGGAGGGAAAGAAUCCCAAGCAGGCUCUGCACUGUCAGCACAGAACCCAACACGGGGCUCGAACUCACAAACAGUGAGAUCAUGACCUGAGCUGAGAUUGAAGUCUGUUGUUUAACGAACUGAGCCAUCCAGGUGCCCCAAUAAUUCUAACUACCCUUAAGUGGAGCUAUGUUGUGCAGGGAGAGAAGGUGUAUGGUGUAUACUAAGGUGUUUGGUAGAAUGGUGGAAUGAACAGCAUUGUAAAGUAGAAUUUUGGCUUUUGUAUUCUAGUCCCUAGCCACCCAUUCUGCUGCCCUUCUGGUUGCUGAUAUCCCAAAAUGCCAGGUCUGCUUUUUGCCAUAUUUUGGCAGCAUUCUAGUUGCUGGACUACCAUUGCUCUCAAACCUUGCCAGGCCCUGGCCUUUUACAAGAUGAUAAUCUAAGAAAACGGAUCACUAUUGACGUCUUCAUGAAUGCUUACUUAUUAGGGGACAUCUUCCCAGGAUCUUUGUGUAGUUUACUGGAGGUUUUUACAACAAUGACCUAAUCUAGUUGAAUGACUCCAAACUUGAGACUUCCAGGAUGCAGGUGCAUAUGCUGUCCUCCAAAUUCCAGGUGAACAAGUGGUAGACUUUCCACAUAAAAGUCCAACUUUUGAUCUGCCUAGGGCCCUAAAGAGUUAAGAAAUUUACCUUUCUCUUAGUCUUUUUUUUUUUUUUUUCUUAACUAUACCAAAAUUGCAUAUGAGGCCUCCCUUAUAGGUAGAAUGUUAUGGACCAAGGUAUUUUGGUAGCAUAAUGAGAUAAUAUACAUGAAGACGCUUUGAAAAAUAUACAAUCUUAUAUAAACUGUAAGGUUCUAUGAUUAAAAUUAAUUUUAUCAUUUUUUUUAAGUAGGCUCCACCCCUACGUGGGGCUUGAACUCACAACCCUGAGAUCAAGUCACAACCCUGAGAUCAAGAGUCAGAUGCUCUACCAACUGAGCCUCCCAGGUGUCCCUAAAAUUUUAGAGCACAUUAUUCAUUACUGUAUUAAUAUUACUAUAAUGGUAAUAAAAUGGGAAGCUGUUAAACACAUAUCCAUCUUUCCAACAGUGUUGUCCUAAGUCCAGGAGGAAGCUUUCAAAACAGGAGCCUGGCCAAUUACAAACCUUUCUCUGGACUUACUCUCCUCACCCCAGACCCAGCUACUAAGGAAGCCAGUUUUGGAACAUGGAAAGAUGGAUUGGAUGCAGUUAGGAGCCCUGAUCUCAUCUUGAUGUCAGGUGUGUGAAAUCCAGCACAGUUCAGAGGGGCCUCAAGCUCUUGGGGCAGAGCCAGUAAGUGUUGCUCCAGACACACCUUUGCAGGGCCCUCUCUCCUUGCUCAUGUAUAAUAUUUUCUCUUUUUGUAACUUGGCCUCAGUGAAAAAGAAUAUUUUUAGUAAGCUACUCAUUGUUUACUGAAAGCAGCCUUAAAAAGCCCAGGGCAAGGGCUCUGUUAAGUAAACCCAAAAGUGGAAGACAGACUUCACUCCUCUUAAUUGGGCACUGGAGCACUUGCCUUUAGAGGAAGUGAGUAAAGCAGACAUCACAGGAAUUAUGAGUGAUGUGCCUGAACACAGAUCUGUGCAGGGGUUCUGCUGGGCACAGAAACUCACUGACUGUACACCAAGUAUUCACCCAGUCUGUUAGACGACCAGAGGUUCAGAGAAAUUAAAAGUACUAAGAACCCAGAGCUAGGAGGACUAGGGUGGAACAUGUGAGGCACUCACCUUGGGCACAACAUGUAAGUAAAUUUUAGCAAUCAAGAAAUAAUACUAUGGUGCAAUAGUUUAAAUAGACAAGAUCUGACAGGGCCAGAUUAGGGUAGGGUGGGUGAAGUGAGACAUGCAAGCACAGGGUCAGAUCUUGUGUUUAUUUAAAAUGAAAUCUGUUGAUUAGGGACUUUUUUUUUUUUUAAUGUUUAUUCAUGAGAGGGAGAGAGACAGAGCAUGAGCCGGGGAGGGGCAGAGAGAGGGAGACACAGAAUCUGAAGCAGGUUCCAGACUCUGAGCUGUCAACACAGAGCCCCAACGCGGGGCUCAAACUCACAAACUGUGAGAUAAUGACCUGAGCUGAAGUCAGAUGCUUAACCGACUGAGCCACCCAGGUACCCCAAAUGGAGACUUUUUUUGCAUUAAUUUUGGUUUUUUAGAAAAUAUUACAUUAAAAUGGUCUUUAUCUUGAUUACUGAGUUUUUCGGCACCUCCCCCGCUGAAUUUUAUGCCUGUGGUGAGUGCCUCACUUGCCUCUCCCAAAUCUCAGCUCUGGACAUCAUCUCCUCACUGUGUAGGAAAUACUAAAGUAAACAAACAGACAUGGCUUCUUCCCUCAAGGAAAUAAUGCAAUGUCUCCAAUUGCUUUGAAAAACAAAUGAAAGGAUUUAAGUAGAUUAUCUAAAAGCAUUGGUAAUAAUAUAAAUUAAUAAUCCACUUAUGUCAGAGUUUAUGCUUCUAGUAAUGGCAGGCUAGGUGGUUCAUGCCAACACCCUCACUGAAAACAACUGAAACUUCUGACUUAAAAAAAAAGAAA
Molecule: long non-coding RNA, 2849 nt
Organism: Neofelis nebulosa (Clouded leopard)
Lineage: Eukaryota; Metazoa; Chordata; Mammalia; Carnivora; Felidae
Exons: 3
Source: RefSeq, a predicted model, not a curated record